RNAcentral lists this unclassified non-coding RNA (327 nucleotides) under soil metagenome. RNAcentral's name for it is "partial contains 5.8S ribosomal RNA, internal transcribed spacer 2, and large subunit ribosomal RNA". The stretch from base 1 to 120 matches the Rfam family "5.8S ribosomal RNA", at positions 35 to 154 of the family's 154-position model. The record is from RNAcentral.
GAUGAAGAACGUAGCGAAAUGCGAUAAGUAGUGUGAAUUGCAGAAUUCAGUGAAUCAUCGAAUCUUUGAACGCACAUUGCGCCCCUUGGUAUUCCAUGGGGCAUGCCUGUCCGAGCGUCAUUACAACCCUCAAGCUCAGCUUGGUGUUGGGCCCCGCCGCCCCGGCGGGCCCUAAAGUCAGUGGCGGUGCCGUCCGGCUCCGAGCGUAGUAAUUCUUCUCGCUCUGGAGGUCCGGUCGUGUGCUCGCCAGCAACCCCCAAUUUUUUUCAGGUUGACCUCGGAUCAGGUAGGGAUACCCGCUGAACUUAAGCAUAUCAAUAGCGGAGG